AUUAAGUAGGCGGAGGAGAAGACAUUAAAUAAGAGUCCCUUAGUAGUGGCGAACGAACAGGGAUUGGCUCACCCUAAGAAUCAGGGCCUCAGGUCAUGAAUUGUAGUCUCUAGAUGUGUUGCCAUCAGGGGUGCUGAUGCAAGCCUCUUGAGAAAGAGCAUUCGCAAGGGUGACAAUCCCGUGAGAUAUUGGUAAUCCCCUGGGCAUGGCAUGCAAUCUAAGAGUCACGUUCCUUGAAAAUGGAGUGCAAAAUAGGUGGUAAAUGUCAUCUCAAGCUAAGCAGGGCCUUGAGACCGAUAGGGAACAAGUACCAUGAGGGAAAGAUGAAAAGGACUUUGGAAGGAGAGUUAAAAGUGCCUGAAGUUGCUGAAUGUGAAGCAAACUGAACUAUUGCUGCUUGGCGAGACUGUCGCGCGCUGAUGUGAUGGCUUAUUGAGGCAAUGCAAAUUCCUCAAGAGGUUGUAUCUGAAAGCGCACAAUGUUUCUCGCCCUGCGUGUCAUCUGCAGAUCUGCACUGAGCAUGACGCCAUUCACAUGAAAGUCGCUUAUAAGUGAUUGAAAGUGGUGGUAGGAGCUUGUUGCCGUUCUGUUGAUUGGUGUGCCCUUCGGGCACGCUGGGGAUGACCAAAUGGUUCUAUUUGACCCGUCUUGAAACACGGACCAAGGAGUCUGGCACAUGUGCAAGUUCUUGAGCAGCAAAGUUUAAGUGCACUAUGAAAGUAUCUGCUAGGAUCUUCUGCUCCAGCAACUGACCGUUCAAGUGAGAGAGGUUUGAGUGUGAGCAUGCGUGCCAGGACCCGAAAGAUGGUGAACUAUGCCUGAGAAGGGCAAACUCAGGGGAAACUCUGAUGGAGGCUUGCAGCGCUACUGACGUGCAAAUCGUUCGUCAUACUUGGGUAUAGGGGCGAAAGACUAAUCGAACCAUCUAGUA
This 931-nucleotide ribosomal RNA is filed under the name Togula jolla. RNAcentral's name for it is "eukaryotic LSU rRNA". It matches the Rfam family "Eukaryotic large subunit ribosomal RNA", at positions 41 to 949 of the family's 3401-position model. The record is from RNAcentral. Lineage: Eukaryota; Dinophyceae; Gymnodiniales; Gymnodiniaceae.